GACGAACGCUGUUGGCGUGCUUAACACAUGCAAGUCGAACGGAAAGGCCCUGCUUUUGUGGGGUGCUCGAGUGGCGAACGGGUGAGUAACACGUGAGUAACCUGCCCUUGACUUUGGGAUAACUUCAGGAAACUGGGGCUAAUACCGGAUAGGAGCUCCUGCUGCAUGGUGGGGGUUGGAAAGUUUCGGCGGUUGGGGAUGGACUCGCGGCUUAUCAGCUUGUUGGUGGGGUAGUGGCUUACCAAGGCUUUGACGGGUAGCCGGCCUGAGAGGGUGACCGGCCACAUUGGGACUGAGAUACGGCCCAGACUCCUACGGGAGGCAGCAGUGGGGAAUAUUGCACAAUGGGCGGAAGCCUGAUGCAGCAACGCCGCGUGCGGGAUGACGGCCUUCGGGUUGUAAACCGCUUUCGCCUGUGACGAAGCGUGAGUGACGGUAAUGGGUAAAGAAGCGCCGGCUAACUACGUGCCAGCAGCCGCGGUGAUACGUAGGGUGCGAGCGUUGUCCGGAUUUAUUGGGCGUAAAGGGCUCGUAGGUGGUUGAUCGCGUCGGAAGUGUAAUCUUGGGGCUUAACCCUGAGCGUGCUUUCGAUACGGGUUGACUUGAGGAAGGUAGGGGAGAAUGGAAUUCCUGGUGGAGCGGUGGAAUGCGCAGAUAUCAGGAGGAACACCAGUGGCGAAGGCGGUUCUCUGGGCCUUUCCUGACGCUGAGGAGCGAAAGCGUGGGGAGCGAACAGGCUUAGAUACCCUGGUAGUCCACGCUGUAAACGGUGGGUACUAGGUGUGGGGUCCAUUCCACGGGUUCCGUGCCGUAGCUAACGCUUUAAGUACCCCGCCUGGGGAGUACGGCCGCAAGGCUAAAACUCAAGGGAAUUGACGGGGCCCCGCACAAGCGGCGGAGCAUGCGGAUUAAUUCGAUGCAACGCGUAGAACCUUACCUGGGUUUGACAUGGAUCGGGAGUGCUCAGAGAUGGGUGUGCCUCUUUUGGGGUCGGUUCACAGGUGGUGCAUGGCUGUCGUCAGCUCGUGUCGUGAGAUGUUGGGUUAAGUCCCGCAACGAGCGCAACCCUUGUUCACUGUUGCCAGCACGUUAUGGUGGGGACUCAGUGGAGACCGCCGGGGUCAACUCGGAGGAAGGUGGGGAUGACGUCAAGUCAUCAUGCCCCUUAUGUCCAGGGCUUCACGCAUGCUACAAUGGCUGGUACAGAGAGUGGCGAGCCUGUGAGGGUGAGCGAAUCUCGGAAAGCCGGUCUCAGUUCGGAUUGGGGUCUGCAACUCGACCUCAUGAAGUCGGAGUCGCUAGUAAUCGCAGAUCAGCAACGCUGCGGUGAAUACGUUCCCGGG
RNAcentral lists this ribosomal RNA (1343 nucleotides) under uncultured bacterium. Its description in RNAcentral is "16S ribosomal RNA". It matches the Rfam family "Bacterial small subunit ribosomal RNA", at positions 28 to 1378 of the family's 1533-position model. The record is from RNAcentral.